UACAGAGGUGGCAAGCGUUGUUCGGAAUUACUGGGCGUAAAGGGCGCGUAGGCGGCCUUCUAAGUCAGACGUGAAAUCCCCCGGCUUAACCUGGGAACCGCGUCUGAUACUGGGAGGCUAGAGUGCGGGAGAGGGAUGCGGAAUUCCAGGUGUAGCGGUGAAAUGCGUAGAUAUCUGGAUGAACACCGGUGGCGAAGGCGGCAUCCUGGACCAACACUGACACUGAGGAGCGAAAGCCAGGGGAGCAAACGGG
Molecule: ribosomal RNA, 253 nt
Filed under: uncultured bacterium
Lineage: Bacteria
Description: partial 16S ribosomal RNA
Rfam family: Bacterial small subunit ribosomal RNA
Source: RNAcentral